This 300-nucleotide ribosomal RNA is filed under the name uncultured bacterium. RNAcentral describes it as "bacterial SSU rRNA". It matches the Rfam family "Bacterial small subunit ribosomal RNA", at positions 335 to 628 of the family's 1533-position model. The record is from RNAcentral.
AGCCUACGGGACGCAGCAGUGGGGAAUAUUGCGCAAUGGGCGAAAGCCUGACGCAGCGACGCCGCGUGAGGGAUGAAGGUCUUCGGAUCGUAAACCUCUGUCAGCAGGGAAGAACGGUCACUGUGCUAAUCAGCAGUGAAUUGACGGUACCUGCAAAGGAAGCACCGGCUAACUCCGCGCCAGCAGCCGCGGUAAUACGGAGGGGGCGAGCGUUAUCCGGAUUCACUGGGCGUAAAGGGAGCGCAGGCGGCACGGCAAGUCCGGUGUGAAAGCCCGGGGCCCCACCCCGGGACUGCACUG